Molecule: ribosomal RNA, 29 nt
Filed under: Veronica schmidtiana
Lineage: Eukaryota; Viridiplantae; Streptophyta; Magnoliopsida; Lamiales; Plantaginaceae
Description: partial 26S ribosomal RNA
Source: RNAcentral
ACCGCGACCCCAGGUCAGGCGGGAUUACC